Molecule: long non-coding RNA, 202 nt
Organism: Uloborus diversus
Lineage: Eukaryota; Metazoa; Arthropoda; Arachnida; Araneae; Uloboridae
Exons: 3
Source: RefSeq, a predicted model, not a curated record
AGCGGACACAAAGCAUUGAAAGAUGUUGAAGUACGGGAUUGUUUUAUUUUUUGUAUUCUGCCUAACUGCAGUUUCUGCACUAGAAGAAGAUGAUGUGCGUUCUGUUGAACCUGAAGAACUUGAAAAAUUGUUAGACGAAGGUAAUUUUGAAGAAUUCAGCAAAUUGAUGCGUAUUGAUGAUGUCAAUUUAGUGAUUCCUAAA